AAUUCGAUUUCCUGCUUUCGUUUUAGACCCGUCUAUAAUUGGUCCCACUUUACGUCUGUUAUUAACAGACACCAAUUAUAUAUACAUGACUGGAUGACUCGUACUUAACUGUGUAAAAUAAUAUUUAAAUCACAGGGCAUAUGGUCACGUAUUUUAACCGCGUAUAUAUUAAUAGUUAAGUGUUAUAUCCUGUCAUCGAACGCCUACUUGAAUGAAUGUGGUAAUUUAACUAGAUCUGAGACAUCAGAUGACAUUGACUGAAGAGAAUUCUUCACUUCUGAUACAUCAUUCCCAUCAUCGUAUCAUGCUUAAAGGAAGAUGUAACCCUGUCUGUAUAAAUCUUUGAUGAAUUACUGUAAACUAUUUCUUCUGAACUGGGAUUUAUAGGAAUAUUUCUCAGCUUCACUGUGUGGAAUGUGUUGAAGAUGGUUCUGUAUUCUAAUUAAGCUUGGAAAAAUCUACACACAGGAGUUCACAGCACCUUUGGAUAGCAACAAAUGUCUUGUUUGAUGAAAUUAUUUCUCUGCAACAAUUUCAGAGAAAUUUUCAUUAUAAUUAAAAUAUAAAAAUGAAAGAAGUAAAAACACUUUUAAUGUCCAUGUUUUCUGGUGAUUGUGGAAGAAUCGUAGGAAUUAAUUUUGUAAGAAGCUGAGAAGAUAGAUAUUAUUUGAGAGAUGCCAAGAGUGACAGGAAAAUCAUAUGAGUUUGACAUAUUUGAAAAGUCCUCCCAAGAAUGCAAUCUCAAAGACAUUCAUACUGGAGAGAAGCCAUAUCAUUGUGAUGUCUGUGGCAAAUGCUUUCCUAAAAGUGAUGCCUUAACAAGACAUGUACGUAUUCAUACAGGAGAGAAACCAUAUCCCUGUGAUGUCUGUGGUAAAUCAUUCUCUAUAAGUGGUGCUUUAAGAAGACACAAUCGCACUCAUACAGGGGACAAACCAUAUCACUGUGAUAUCUGUGGAAGGACAUUCUCCCAAACAGAUUUCUUAACAAGACACAAACGUAUUCAUUCAGGAGAAAAGCCAUAUCAGUGUGAUAUUUGUGGUAAAUCCUUCUCUCACAGCAGCACUGUACCAAGACACAAACGUACUCAUACAGGAGAGAAACCAUAUCACUGUAAUAUCUGUGGCAGAACCUUUUCCCAAAGUGGUUUCUUAACAAGGCACAAAUGCAUUCCUAAAGGAUAGAAGCCAUAUCACUGUGAUGUCUUUGGCACAAACACAUUUAUACAGGCAAGAAACCACGUUGAUGCAAAAUUCGUGUUCUGUCAUUUUCUUGUAGUGAUGAUUUAGCUAAAUACAAGCUUUUUCAUGUAGGAAAAUAUCUUCAGCAGAGUAAUUAGUAAUUGUUAUCAAAACAGGAGAUUGGAACAUUUUUUUGGUAUUAGUUUCAAAGUAAGCACCUCCACUGCAUUUUUUCUUUAAUUUCUUUUUCAGAUUUCUUUUAUAAACAUGAUUAUGAUUACUUUAAAGAAGUGUUGAUAAAGUAAUAUAACAGAUAUUUAUAAAAUUCACAAUUACAUGAAAAGUUAAGUUUUAAAUAAAGUUAUAUCAACAAAAAUAUAUUCAGUUAAAGGAUUUUCUCUCAAAUUUUAUAUCUUUGAAAAUUCCUCGUUUAGCCAUUAAGAUGGCUGCAGGCUCCCUAUUUUCCACUCAGCUAAUGUCUAAAUCAUAGGGGCCACUCAUUUUACAACUUCUUCUUGCUUUUAUCCACCUGUGGACCUGGAUAGAACCUGACCCCUAAGGGCCUAAACUGAACCCUCUGUCAAACAAAUGAACCGUCUCUCUCCUACAUAGACUUACUUCUCCAGAUGUCAGUUGAAACAUACAAACAUUUCUCUGAAUCGAUGCAUCUUACUGUUACUCUCCCAGAAUGGUACCAAUCACUUUCGUCUAUGAUGUGUGUUAACACCCAUAACAGUGACAUCCGUUCCUCAAUGCAAACACUACUCUCGUGUCCCAGGUCAAUCAUGCUGUCUCUCAGCAGCUCCAUCCUCCACAGCAAACACCCCAAUACCAAAACAGAGUAAAACAACAAGAGGUGUUAUCUUUGCCAGAGUGAGUGUGUGAUUUAAAAAUAAAAUUGUGAUGAGUAGCCAUUCAGUUUGACCA
RNA transcript from Octopus sinensis (East Asian common octopus), 2108 nucleotides. It is a transcript of the gene named zinc finger protein 3-like, with no coding region annotated. The transcript has 3 exons. NCBI's taxonomy places the organism in Eukaryota, Metazoa, Mollusca, Cephalopoda, Octopoda, Octopodidae. The record is from RefSeq and is a predicted model, not a curated record.